This 210-nucleotide unclassified non-coding RNA is filed under the name Hevea brasiliensis (rubber tree). The record is from RNAcentral. Lineage: Eukaryota; Viridiplantae; Streptophyta; Magnoliopsida; Malpighiales; Euphorbiaceae.
GGGAACAACUCUGCAACGCUAAAGCCUUCCAUCAUUUUAAGAGCUUCCUUAGCAAGUGGUAUGAACGUUUCUUGGUCUUUGCAUUUCUUGCCAAAGGCUGCUCUUGCAAUAACAGAACAAGAUGAAGAAAACAACAUUUUGCUAAGGUUGACAGGAGAUCCUGCACUGGAAGAUAUAGAUUUAACGAGAUUUGAUACCUCUUCUUCUCUG